GGAGCAGGCGGCACUAAGGGUCUGUGGUGAAAGAUCGAAGCUUAACUUCGGUAAGCCAUGGAAACCGUAAAGCUAGAGUGGGUGAGAGGAUCGUGGAAUUCCAUGUGUAGCGGUGAAAUGCGUAAAUAUAUGGAGGAACACCAGUGGCGAAGGCGGCCUACUGGGCACCAACUGACGCUGAGGCUCGAAAGUGUGGGUAGCAAACA
This 206-nucleotide ribosomal RNA is filed under the name uncultured bacterium. RNAcentral's name for it is "partial 16S ribosomal RNA". It matches the Rfam family "Bacterial small subunit ribosomal RNA", at positions 568 to 774 of the family's 1533-position model. The record is from RNAcentral.